This 31-nucleotide non-coding RNA is filed under the name Mus musculus (house mouse). Lineage: Eukaryota; Metazoa; Chordata; Mammalia; Rodentia; Muridae. The record is from RNAcentral.
UCAGUCUCUAGAACUUUCUGUCCAUGACACU